Molecule: transfer RNA, 67 nt
Filed under: Gnathopogon polytaenia
Lineage: Eukaryota; Metazoa; Chordata; Actinopteri; Cypriniformes; Gobionidae
Also listed under: 2 other names
Description: tRNA-Cys
Source: RNAcentral
AGCCCCGUGGUGAAGCACACACUGAAUUGCAAAUUCAGAGACGUAGACUAACAGUCUGCCGGGGCUU